RNAcentral lists this long non-coding RNA (1362 nucleotides) under Marmota monax (woodchuck). The record is from RNAcentral. Lineage: Eukaryota; Metazoa; Chordata; Mammalia; Rodentia; Sciuridae.
UCCUUUGUUGGGAAAACAGGAAGCGAGGGUUUCCAUGACCUUCUAGCCACCCGCCGGCCGCCUGCCCCAGCUUCCGCUGAUUCUCAGCAGCCUCUGCCAGCCAUCAGCUGCUGCUCUGUCCAUCCACUUUUAGUCCAUUCCUCUGAAUGGUGCCCAGGCGACCAGCUUUGGGACAGAUCAGCCUGUCAAAGUUCAUGGGCAGGGGUAGGUCUCCUGGAGAGCAUCUCCUGCCGGUGGUGCUCCCAGUCACACAGGAAGGAACACCUUCAGUGCUCCAGGUGCCCGGGUGCAGGGGAGCUGAGCCCCGGGCUUGUAGCUGCCUGAGUGCAGCUGCCCGAGGCCGGCCUAGAGGAGCCCAGGAGCGUGAGUGUGAGCGGUCUCUGUCAGGUCCUGAUGGCGUGAUGCCCCCAGGGUGUCCAGGAGCUAACCCAAGGAGCAAGGGCCUGGGCACAGCUGUGUGCCAGGGACAGCUGGCCAGGCCUUGGGAGGGGCCGAAACACCCAGAGGCCCCCAAGAUGCAUACCUUCUCCCCACCUGGUAUGAUCCUGGGGUCAGAGUUCACUGUGUCCCUGCUGCCCAGGCCAGAAUCCACCCAUGGCCUAGACACUGCUCUGUUCACUAGUGGUUCCUUCCUGAUGUGGGUGGCUGGGCACACCUGUGUUCACAUAUGCACCAACACCACACACGCCACAGUUGUGCUCAGUGUCCUCACGUGCACACGCAUGGGACACACAUGCUCACACACCCACACCAUACCACACUCAGGCAGGCACCUCUCCAAUCCUCUGCAGUGCGCAGACCCAAGGCUCCCCAGAGGUUCACUGGACAGGGAGUGAAUGAAUGAACCACCGUCCACCCAGCCCUCCAGCUCCUCCCUGCACCUCCGCCUGGCGGAGGAUGGACGUGUGUGUGUGUGUGUGUGUGUGUGAAAUGUGUGUGCGAGCUGCUCUCCGCAGCGCUGGGCCCCACGCAGACACCCUCCCAGGCAACAGAGGCUGCCUGUGGGAGGGGAUAAGGCCCAACAGGCAGAGCAUGUGACUCUGGAGCUGCAGGCAGCACCGAGGUGUCUGGGUGGCUGAGGCCACCGCCCUCCCUUCUGGAGACACAAAGCCGCAGCUGUCCCCCCGCCACAGUGGGCCCAUGCAGGGCAGUGUUGUAAGGGCAGCUGGGUCCAGGCUGAGGCCCCAGAGAGGAGGGUCAGGGCCCAAUGGACUCGCCCACUGUGGUGAGGUCACCUGAUAGAGUGGGCAGUGUGAGGACCCCUAGUGCCCACCACAGCCUCCAGGCCGAGAGUUGGCCUCCGUGUCCAGAUCCCUGUGUCAGGGGUCCUGUCAUCCCACAUAGAAGAAAGCCUCAGUCCCU